CAAUAGCGUAUAUUAAAGUUGUUGCGGUUAAAAAGCUCGUAGUUGGAUUUCUGUUGGGAACGACCGGUCCGCCCAUUGGGUGUGUAUCUGGCUUGUUCUCGGCAUCUUCUUGGUGAACGUUGCUGCACUUGACUGUGUGGAGCGCUACCCAGGACUUUUACUUUGAGGAAAUUAGAGUAUUUCAAGCAGGCAUAUGCCUUGAAUACAUUAGCAUGGAAUAAUAAGAUAGGACCUCGGUUCUAUUUUGUUGGUUUCUAGAGCUGAGGUAAUGAUUAAUAGGGAUAGUUGGGGGCAUUCGUAUUUAACUGUCAGAGGUGAAAUUCUUGGACUUGUUAAAGACGGACUACUGCGAAAGCAUUUGCCAAGGAUGUUUUCAUUGA
RNAcentral lists this ribosomal RNA (380 nucleotides) under uncultured eukaryote. Its description in RNAcentral is "partial 18S ribosomal RNA". It matches the Rfam family "Eukaryotic small subunit ribosomal RNA", at positions 592 to 976 of the family's 1831-position model. The record is from RNAcentral.